Molecule: ribosomal RNA, 147 nt
Filed under: Klebsiella pneumoniae
Lineage: Bacteria; Pseudomonadati; Pseudomonadota; Gammaproteobacteria; Enterobacterales; Enterobacteriaceae
Description: partial 16S ribosomal RNA
Rfam family: Bacterial small subunit ribosomal RNA
Source: RNAcentral
AAAUUGAAGAGUUUGAUCAUGGCUCAGAUUGAACGCUGGCUGCCGGCCUAACCCAAGCAACUCGCGCUGUAGCACAGAGAGCUUGUUCUCGGGUGACGAUCGGCGUUCGGGUGAGUAAGUUCUGGGUAACUUCCUGAUGCAGGGGGA